AUUGAACGCUGGCGGCAUGCUUUACACAUGCAAGUCGAACGGUAACAGGCCUUCGGGUGCUGACGAGUGGCGAACGGGUGAGUAAUGCAUCGGAACGUGCCCAGAGGUGGGGGAUAACGCAGCGAAAGCUGUGCUAAUACCGCAUGUGAUCUGAGGAUGAAAGCGGGGGACCAGGCAGCAAUGUUUGGCCUCGCGCCUUUGGAGCGGCCGAUGUCAGAUUAGGUAGUUGGUGGGGUAAAGGCCUACCAAGCCGACGAUCUGUAGCUGGUCUGAGAGGACGACCAGCCACACUGGGACUGAGACACGGCCCAGACUCCUGCGGGAGGCAGCAGUGGGGAAUGUUGGACAAUGGGCGCAAGCCUGAUCCAGCAAUGCCGCGUGCGGGAAGAAGGCCUUCGGGUUGUAAACCGCUUUUGUACGGAACGAAAAGGCUCUGGCUAAUACCUGGGGCUGAUGACGGUACCGUAAGAAUAAGCACCGGCUAACUACGUG
RNAcentral lists this ribosomal RNA (492 nucleotides) under uncultured bacterium. Its description in RNAcentral is "partial 16S ribosomal RNA". It matches the Rfam family "Bacterial small subunit ribosomal RNA", at positions 29 to 507 of the family's 1533-position model. The record is from RNAcentral.